CCUACGGGUGGCAGCAGUGAGGAAUAUUGGUCAAUGGACGAGAGUCUGAACCAGCCACGUCGCGUGAAGGAUGACUGCUCUAUGGGUUGUAAACUUCUUUUAUAAAGGAGUAAAACGCGGCACGUGUCCCUUGUUGCAUGUACUUUAUGAAUAAGGAUCGGCUAACUCCGUGCCAGCAGCCGCGGUAAUACGGAGGAUCCGAGCGUUAUCCGGAUUUAUUGGGUUUAAAGGGAGCGUAGAUGGGUUGUUAAGUCAGUUGUGAAAGUUUGGGGCUCAACCGUGGAAUUGCAAUUGAGACUGGCAGUCUAGAGUGCAGUUGAGGUAGGCGGAAUGCGUGGUGUAGCGGUGAAAUGCUUAGAUAUCACGAAGAACACCGAUUGCGAAGGCAGCUUACUAAACUGUGACUGACAUUGAGGCUCGAAAGUGUGGGGAUCAAACAGGAUUAGAUACCCUUGUAGUC
Molecule: ribosomal RNA, 460 nt
Filed under: uncultured bacterium
Lineage: Bacteria
Description: partial 16S ribosomal RNA
Rfam family: Bacterial small subunit ribosomal RNA
Source: RNAcentral